This 70-nucleotide transfer RNA is filed under the name Dipodomys ordii (Ord's kangaroo rat). It matches the Rfam family "tRNA". Rfam says of the family: Transfer RNA (tRNA) molecules are approximately 80 nucleotides in length. The record is from Rfam by way of RNAcentral. Lineage: Eukaryota; Metazoa; Chordata; Mammalia; Rodentia; Heteromyidae.
GGGAAUGUGGCUUAGUGGUAGAGUGCUUGCCUAGUAUGCAGAAAGACCUGGGUUCGAUUCCUCAGUACCA